UUAACGCUGAGGUGUGAUGACGAGGCACUACGGUGCUGAAGUAACAAAUGCCCUGCUUCCAGGAAAAGCCUCUAAGCAUCAGGUAACAUUAAAUCGUACCCCAAACCGACACAGGUGGUCAGGUAGAGAAUACCAAGGCGCUUGAGAGAACUCGGGUGAAGGAACUAGGCAAAAUGGUGCCGUAACUUCGGGAGAAGGCACGCUGAUAUGUAGGUGAAGCCCCUGCGGGUGGAGCUGAAAUCAGUCGAAGAUACCAGCUGGCUGCAACUGUUUAUUAAAAACACAGCACUGUGCAAACACGAAAGUGGACGUAUACGGUGUGACGCCUGCCCGGUGCCGGAAGGUUAAUUGAUGGGGUUAUCCGUAAGGAGAAGCUCUUGAUCGAAGCCCCGGUAAACGGCGGCCGUAACUAUAACGGUCCUAAGGUAGCGAAAUUCCUUGUCGGGUAAGUUCCGACCUGCACGAAUGGCGUAAUGAUGGCCAGGCUGUCUCCACCCGAGACUCAGUGAAAUUGAACUCGCUGUGAAGAUGCAGUGUACCCGCGGCAAGACGGAAAGACCCCGUGAACCUUUACUAUAGCUUGACACUGAACAUUGAGCCUUGAUGUGUAGGAUAGGUGGGAGGCUUUGAAGCGUGGACGCCAGUCUGCGUGGAGCCAACCUUGAAAUACCACCCUUUAAUGUUUGAUGUUCUAACGUUGGCCCCUAAUCGGGGUUGCGGACAGUGUCUGGUGGGUAGUUUGACUGGGGCGGUCUCCUCCCAAAGAGUAACGGAGGAGCACGAAGGUUAGCUAAUCCUGGUCGGACAUCAGGAGGUUAGUGCAAUGGCAUAAGCUAGCUUGACUGCGAGCGUGACGGCGCGAGCAGGUGCGAAAGCAGGUCAUAGUGAUCCGGUGGUUCUGAAUGGAAGGGCCAUCGCUCAACGGAUAAAAGGUACUCCGGGGAUAACAGGCUGAUACCGCCCAAGAGUUCAUAUCGACGGCGGUGUUUGGCACCUCGAUGUCGGCUCAUCACAUCCUGGGGCUGAAGUAGGUCCCAAGGGUAUGGCUGUUCGCCAUUUAAAGUGGUACGCGAGCUGGGUUUAGAACGUCGUGAGACAGUUCGGUCCCUAUCUGCCGUGGGCGCUGGAGAAUUGAGGGGGGCUGCUCCUAGUACGAGAGGACCGGAGUGGACGCAUCACUGGUGUUCGGGUUGUCAUGCCAAUGGCAUUGCCCGGUAGCUAAAUGCGGAAGAGAUAAGUGCUGAAAGCAUCUAAGCACGAAACUUGCCCCGAGAUGAGUUCUCCCUGAGACUUUAAGUCUCCUGAAGGAACGUUAAAGACGAUGACGUUGAUAGGUCGGGUGUGUAAGCGUAGCGAUACGUUGAGCUAACCGAUACUAAUGAACCGUGAGGCUUAACCUUACAACGCCGAAG
This 1412-nucleotide ribosomal RNA is filed under the name Klebsiella aerogenes. RNAcentral describes it as "partial 23S ribosomal RNA". It matches the Rfam family "Bacterial large subunit ribosomal RNA", at positions 1550 to 2925 of the family's 2925-position model. The record is from RNAcentral. Lineage: Bacteria; Pseudomonadati; Pseudomonadota; Gammaproteobacteria; Enterobacterales; Enterobacteriaceae.